Long non-coding RNA from Callithrix jacchus (white-tufted-ear marmoset), 3525 nucleotides. RefSeq lists it as uncharacterized. NCBI's taxonomy places the organism in Eukaryota, Metazoa, Chordata, Mammalia, Primates, Cebidae. The record is from RefSeq and is a predicted model, not a curated record.
UUUUACUACUGUGUAACUCAGGCAAGGGGCAAUGCCUGUAUUCAGGGCCAGGUCUGAUUUCUUUAUACUUCCUUACUGUUCAACCUGAACAAAGAAGUAAUAAUUGGCAAUGAAUGAAAUGAUGCAUUAAGUCACAAUGGACAAGGCGGGGCUUAAGUGUGAAGCAUGGCUUUAAGCAAGCAUCCCAGAACAUCCCCACCCAGGUAUAAAAACAGACCUUGGCCAGGCACGGUGGCUCAUACCUGUAAUCUCAACACUUUGGGAGGCCAAGGUGGGCAGAUCACCUGAGGUCGGGACUUUAAGACCAGCCUGACCAACAUGGAGAAACCCUGUCUCUACAAAAAACACAAAAUUAGCCUGGUGUGGUGGUGCAUGCCUAUAAUCCCAGCAAUUUGGGAGGCUGAGGCAGGAGAAUCGCUUGAACCUGGGAGGCGGAAGUUGCAGUGAGCCAAGAUCGCACCAUUGCACUCCAGCCUGGACAACGAGCCAGACUCCAUCUUGAAAAAAAAUAAAGACCUUAAGGUUCAUGAGAAUGCCUUCUCCAAGCAGCUAUUUUUAUGGGAACCAAAGGAUACUGAUCAGUAGCAAGGUUUGACCAGGUGGUCCUGGCUUGAGGAAGAUAAGAAGCCUUUCCUUCACAUGGGUCUAAGGAGCUCACCAUUUUUCUCAACAUCUGACCUGACAACUGGUUUCCCAGCAUUGGCCCCAAGAAAUACACCUGCCAUCUCCACCUGGAUUCUCCAGCCCUUAAAGCCACAGCAUUCCAUCUUCUUUCCCCAGCAAGAUGUAUGGGAUAACCUGUUUGCAGCAUCCUCAAAAGUCCUUGCAGGUAGGAGCACCUGAGGGAGAGGAAAAGACAGGCCAUGCCCAGCUCCAGUGAGUAACAUACGUGCACUUCCCCUGAAACAUCACAUCUCCAGGAAGCCUCCCUCAGACUGGAUGGGUUCCCCAAAGCACGUUGCCCUUAUCUCUAAAACAGCACAGAUUUACAAGGAACAUGGCAUUUUCUUCAUUUUAUCAUUGAGGCAAUUGAUGCUGAGGAGAUUAAAUAACUUGACAAAAGUCACCCAGCUGGUUAGUGGCAGAGCCGGCAUCUGAAGGUAGGCAUGUCUGAAGCCAAUGCCAUGCCUAUGUCUUUCCACAAAGCCCCACAGCAAACUCUGAAGCACACUGCGAUCCAGCAGGUGACUGAGUGAGAACACGCUGAGACCCGGGCCAGCUGCUCUCUGCCUCACUCUGUUCCUCCAGCCUGUGGCCCACUUCGGAGCCCACAAGGGGUUGUAUGCCAAACUUCUCACUUUCUAGUGUCAAGUUGCUUUCUUGGCACAUAGUAGAUAAUUAAUAACAAAUAAAGAAAGAGAAAAACUGUGGCAGAAAUGUGAAAAGACUCAAAUCAUUUGUCAUCCAGUAUCACUAAGAAUCAAAGAAAAGCAAAUUAAAAUCCUAACAAAAUACCAUCUCUGCCUAUCAAAUUGACUGGAGGCAAGUCAUUGGGUACAAUCUUUCUGAAAAGUGAUGUGGCAUUAUAUUUCAAGGGUUUUUUUUUAAUCAUACCCUUUGCUGAAUACUUGAUUAUUGUUUUAAAGACCUGGUUUAAAAUGUAUGGACAAAGAUAUUCAUCUCAACCUCCUUCACAAUUUUUUUUUUCAAAAAAAAGGAGGAGGGGGCAAUUUUCCAAAAUCUUACAAAUGAGUAAUGACAUAAAUUCAAAUGUUGAAAUAUUAAUUUUGCAGAAUUUUUAGUGACAUGGAAAAUUUACCACACUAGAACACUAAGGGAAAAAAGAAUUUCAUGAAUACAUACAAUUGUAUUACAGUAAACUCCUCAUUCUGCAUAGACAGAGUUUCCAGCUAGACCUUAAGCCAUGUUUACCCUUGGGAUUGAGAUAUGUCUGGAAAUGGCAAGUGGAAUGAUGGGAUGAACCUGGUGGAAUUAUCCUGGGAGAGAAGUCAUUAUCUGGAGACAAGAGACCAGGAAGACAAGCUUAACCCAGACACAAAGCUUCAUACACAGGCAGGGUGGGGUCAUUCUGAGGAAGACAAGGUACCUAUCCCUUAGUUCGUGGGGAGCUCAGAAUAUAUCUGAGCCCACUUGGGCUGCUGUUCAGAUUAUCUGUUCCUGUAUAACAAACUACCCCAAAUUUUCAUGACUUAAAACACCAAUUUAUUAUUUUCAUUCAUGGCUCUCUGAGCUAACUCAGCAAGGCAGUUCUCACUCAGGAUCUCUUAGGUGGCUGCUUGGGCUAGAGUCAUCUGAGGGCUCUGUCUAUCCAGGAUGACACACUCACAUGACUGCCAGUGGGUGCUGACUGUCCCUGCAGAGGGACUUUCAAAAGGAGUGCCGGCCAGGCGCAGUGGCUCACACCUGUAAUCCCAGCACUUUGGGAGGCCAAGGUGGGCAGAUCACUAGAGGUCAGGAAUUCAAGACCAGCCUGGCCAACAUAGUGAAGCACUGUCUCUACUAAAAAUACAAAAAAUGAGCCAGGCGUGGUGACAGGUGCCUGUAAUCUCAGCUACUUGGAAGGCUGCAGCAGGAAAAUGGCUUGAACCCAAAGGCGGAGGUUGCAGUGAGCCAAGAUCACACCACUGCACAUCAGCCUGGGCAACAAGAGUGGAACUCCAUCUCAAAAGAAAAAGGAGUGCCUACACAUGGCUAUAUGUGGACUCUCCAUAGGAAGUGACCCAAGAAUGAGCAUUCCAAGAGACCCAGGAGGAAUGGCAAGCCUUCUUACAACCUCACCUCAGAGAGCCUAGAACAUCUUUUUGGAUGCAUCUUUUUGGAUGCAUCUUUUUGGUAAAGUAAGUCGCUAAGACCAGCCCAGAGUCAAAGCGUAGGGGAUUCAAUUCCAUCUCCUGAUGUGAGGAGCUACAAGCCCAAGCUUGGAGGGAAGAGCUGGCGAGGGGCAGCCCUCCCUUGAGACUAUUUACCACAACCAUUUUCUAUAAAGAGCUCUGAAAACAUUGCUACAUAAGAAAAAAGCAGACCUGACUGUACCCCAAAGUACAAGGCAACAGAGGCUGAGACUCGCCGCUCUACAAGGGAGCCCAGCCUGGCUUUGCUGCCCUACAGAAUCCAAAAAGCAUAACUGUGUUUCUAUACCCGGAGGAAGGCUCCAGGUAACUAGGAGGGGCAAGAGUACCCGGCAGCUGUAAGAUAUGACAGUGCCCAGUAGAAAAGGUUUCAUGGUGGGCCUGACCACAACGGCAAAGCACAUUCAGAGGUAUGGAGGCCUCAGAGUAGACCUCACUGUAAGGACCACAGCUGUGAAAGUGAAGGAGAUAGACAAGUAGCUCCAGGGUUCAUCCGCGAAAUCCCUUAGAACUUCCGGAAAUAACUCAGCAGGCCUUUGUAAGAGGAGUUGGACAAGAGACCUAUAAUUCCACAUAGAGAUAAAAGCCAGCAAAAUAUAAAUUAUGACUAUUAAUAUCACCUUCCCAUUUUUUAUGCCAGCUUGAUGCAAACAGGUUACAUGACUUAAUAUAUGAACAUAUGUUUCUAUGAACACAAAUGUAAACAUACACACCU